RNAcentral lists this ribosomal RNA (378 nucleotides) under uncultured bacterium. RNAcentral's name for it is "bacterial SSU rRNA". It matches the Rfam family "Bacterial small subunit ribosomal RNA", at positions 67 to 442 of the family's 1533-position model. The record is from RNAcentral.
CGAGAAACGGUCUAGCUUGCUAGAUGCAGUCUAAGUGGCGCACGGGUGAGUAAUGUAUAGCUAAUGUGCCCCUUGGAGGGGGAUAACAGUUGGAAACGGCUGCUAAUACCCCAUACUCCUUCAUUCUUAAUGAGUGAAGGGAAAGUUUUUUCGCCAAGGGAUCAGGCUAUAUGGUAUCAGCUAGUUGGUGAGGUAACGGCUCACCAAGGCAAUGACGCCUAACUGGUCUGAGAGGAUGAUCAGUCACACUGGAACUGAGACACGGUCCAGACUCCUACGGGAGGCAGCAGUGGGGAAUAUUGCACAAUGGAGGAAACUCUGAUGCAGCAACGCCGCGUGGAGGAUGACGCAUUUCGGUGUGUAAACUCCUUUUAUAUA